RNAcentral lists this ribosomal RNA (253 nucleotides) under uncultured bacterium. Its description in RNAcentral is "partial 16S ribosomal RNA". It matches the Rfam family "Bacterial small subunit ribosomal RNA", at positions 524 to 776 of the family's 1533-position model. The record is from RNAcentral.
UACGGAGGGUGCGAGCGUUGAUCGGAAUUACUGGGCGUAAAGCGUCCGUAGGCGGCUUGUUAAGUCUGAUGUGAAAGCCCUGGGCUUAACCUGGGAAUGGCAUUGGAUACUGGCGAGCUAGAGUUCGGUAGAGGGUGGUGGAAUUCCCGGUGUAGCGGUGAAAUGCGUAGAGAUCGGGAGGAACACCGGUGGCGAAGGCGGUCACCUGGACCGAGACUGACGCUGAGGGACGAAAGCGUGGGGAGCAAACAGG